CCAACAUUUGGAUAAACAUGUUUGAAUUCAAUUCGAAGCCUAUCACCGAAUUGUAUUCCAUUGUCAAAGCAGAAGUUUUUCCAUCCUCCAACAAUCUGGACAUUUUCAGAAGGAUUGGUUGGAUACCUUAAAUGUACCUUGGAACUGUUUGUUCCAGGUACUUCAAGAAUUAGGGUUUGCAAAUUGAAAUGACGAACAUAAGUUGAGAAGUCGUUGGGCAAAGUCUAUAAAACAAAAUUUGAAGAAUUAAACCAAUAUAAAUAAUAGAUAAUAAAUAUCAUAGACAUUUAAAAAAACCAAGUUCAGAUGUGAAAAAUGAAAUGACAACAUAAAAACUUACAAUUUGUGUUUCUCUGACAUGGUUGAAAUGGUUAAGAGUGAAUUCAAAGGUAUGCACACCAGCAUCUGUGUUG
This 413-nucleotide long non-coding RNA is filed under the name Trifolium pratense (red clover). RNAcentral's name for it is "long non-coding RNA (TPRA_LNC007292)". Lineage: Eukaryota; Viridiplantae; Streptophyta; Magnoliopsida; Fabales; Fabaceae. The record is from RNAcentral.